RNAcentral lists this ribosomal RNA (500 nucleotides) under uncultured bacterium. RNAcentral's name for it is "bacterial SSU rRNA". It matches the Rfam family "Bacterial small subunit ribosomal RNA", at positions 28 to 514 of the family's 1533-position model. The record is from RNAcentral.
GAUGAACGCUAGCGGCAGGCUUAACACAUGCAAGUCGAGGGGCAGCAUGACACGGAGAUUCGUCGAAGUGUUGAUGGCGACCGGCGCAAGGGUGCGUAACGCGUGAGCAACUUGCCCGUUUCUGGGGGAAUAACCGGUGGAAACGCCGACUAAUACCCCAUAGUAUAACGAAGAGGCAUCUUUUGUUAUUAAAGAAUUUCGGAAACGGAUAGGCUCGCGUGACAUUAGCUAGAUGGCGGGGUAACGGCCCACCAUGGCGACGAUGUCUAGGGGUUCUGAGAGGAAGGUCCCCCACACUGGAACUGAGACACGGUCCAGACUCCUACGGGAGGCAGCAGUGAGGAAUAUUGGUCAAUGGCCGGAAGGCUGAACCAGCCAAGUAGCGUGAAGGAUGAAGGUUCUAUGGAUUGUAAACUUCUUUUAUAUAGGAAUAAAACGUCCCACGUGUGGGAGCUUGUAUGUACUAUAUGAAUAAGCAUCGGCUAACUCCGUGCCAGCAG